This 506-nucleotide ribosomal RNA is filed under the name uncultured bacterium. RNAcentral's name for it is "partial 16S ribosomal RNA". It matches the Rfam family "Bacterial small subunit ribosomal RNA", at positions 29 to 523 of the family's 1533-position model. The record is from RNAcentral.
AUUGAACGCUGGCGGCAGGCCUAACACAUGCAAGUCGGACGGUAGCACAGAGGAGCUUGCUCCUCGGGUGACGAGUGGCGGACGGGUGAGUAAUGUCUGGGGAUCUGCCCGAUAGAGGGGGAUAACCACUGGAAACGGUGGCUAAUACCGCAUAACGUCGCAAGACCAAAGAGGGGGACCUUCGGGCCUCUCACUAUCGGAUGAACCCAGAUGGGAUUAGCUAAUAGGCGGGGUAACGGCCCACCUAGGCGACGAUCCCUAGCUGGUCUGAGAGGAUGACCAGCCCAACUGGAAAUGAGACAAGGUCCAGACUCCUACGGGAGGCAGCAGUGGGGAAUAUUGCACAAUGGGGGCAAGCCUGAUGCAGCCAUGCCGCGUGUAUGAAGAAGGCCUUCGGGUUGUAAAGUACUUUCAGCGGGGAGGAAGGCGAUGUGGUUAAUAACCGCAUUGAUUGACGUUACCCGCAGAAGAAGCACCGGCUAACUCCGUGCCAGCUGCCGCGGUAA